UGCGUAGGCGGAAAAUUAAGUCAGUGAUGAAAUCCUGCAGCUCAACUGUAGAACUGUCAUUGAUACUGAUUUUCUUGAAUUUAGUUGAGGUAGGCGGAAUGUGUAAUGUAGCGGUGAAAUGCUUAGAUAUUACACAGAACACCGAUUGCGAAGGCAGCUUACUAAGCUAACAUUGACGCUGAGGCACGAAAGCGUGGGGAGCGAACAGGAUUAGAUACCCUGGUAGUCC
RNAcentral lists this ribosomal RNA (229 nucleotides) under uncultured bacterium. RNAcentral describes it as "partial 16S ribosomal RNA". It matches the Rfam family "Bacterial small subunit ribosomal RNA", at positions 568 to 796 of the family's 1533-position model. The record is from RNAcentral.